UGAGAAGCUUCGACUAAGGUUCGAUUCGAGCGCAGCGAGAACGCGUUGCCGCAGGCAACGACCCGAAGGGCGAAGCGCGCAGCGCUGA
RNAcentral lists this small RNA (88 nucleotides) under Salmonella enterica subsp. enterica serovar Typhimurium. RNAcentral's name for it is "RtT RNA". It matches the Rfam family "RtT RNA", at positions 23 to 109 of the family's 130-position model. From Rfam's summary of the family: This family represents a bacterial cis-regulatory element known as RtT RNA. The exact function of RtT is unknown although it is thought that it may be involved in changing the cellular response in relation to amino acid starvation. Lineage: Bacteria; Pseudomonadati; Pseudomonadota; Gammaproteobacteria; Enterobacterales; Enterobacteriaceae. The record is from RNAcentral.